AAAUGAGCAGAGGAUGGGCAGGCUGGGCACAGCUGCAGGGCUGGCUCAUCUCAGUAACUCAGCACCAGUUCAGUGUCCCCAGGUGUCCCAGUGAAAAGGAAUCUGUUACAGCAGCUUGAAAUAGAACAAGAGAGACAGCUCACAAUCAGUGAGGACAGGAUGAGGUGUAUACAUACUUCAGCUUCCUCAUCUCUCAGGUGGAACAGCCCGGAGGAAUUUAGUCCAUGUUUCCACAGGUGGUUGAUCUUCAGUUCUCCUGAGUCAGGUCACAAAAUUUUAAAAUGCCUAAACCGCAGCAGCCCGGCAUUCCUCCAGGACCUCCUCCCCCGGGAUCUUGCUUCAAGUGCUGGAAAUCUGGCCACUGGACCGAGGAAUGCCCACAGCCUGGGAUUCCUCCUAAGCCGUGUCCCAUCUGUGCAGGACCCCACUGGAAAUUGGACUGUCCAACUCUCCUGGCAGCCACUCCCAGAGCCACUGGAACUCUGGCCCAAGGCUCUCUGACUGACUCCUUCCCAGAUCUUCUCAGCUUAGCUGCUGAAGACUGAUGCUGCCCAAUCGCCUUGGAAGCCUCCUGGACCAUCACAGACACUUUGGGUAACUCUUACAGUGGAGAGUAAGUCCAUCCCCUUCUUAAUCAAUGUGGAGUCUACCCACUCCACAUUACCUUCUUUUCAACGACCUGUUUCCCUUGCCGCCAUAACUGUUGUGGGUAUUGACGGCCAGGCUUCUAAAUCUCUUAAAACUCCCCAACUCUGUUGCGAACUUGGACAACAUUCUUUUAUGCACUCCUUUUUAGUUAUCCUUACCUGCCCAGUUUCCUUAUUAGGUCGAGACGUUUUAACAAAACUAUCCACUUCCCUGACUAUUCCUGGGCUACAGCCACACCUCAUUGCCACCCUUUUCCUCACUUCAAAGCCUCCUUUGCAUCCUCCCCUGUGUCUCCCUGCCUUAAUCCACAAGUAUGGGAUACCUCUACUCCUUCCUUGGCAACUGAUCAUGCACCCCUUACCAUCCCGUUAAAACCUAAUCACUGUUACCACUAGAGCCUGUUAUCACCCACCUGUUACAACAUGGCCUCUUAAAGCCUACAAAUUCUCCUUACUGAGGGAAGAGAGAGACCCUCUCAUAUUGUUUUAUAUUGUUUUAUACUCAGUACCUGUUUUAAGAGUAAAAAUCAAGGAAGUGAAAUCAGAGACAGGCAGCCCGGCGCCAGGCCUGGGCCUGCCUGGCCUAAACCUAGUAGUUAAAAAUCAUCUCAUGACUUAGCAACCAAUGUUAUCCAUAGAUUCCAAGCAUUGUAUGAAGAACAUUGUGAAACUCCCUGUUCUGUUCUGUUUGACUCUGACUACCAGUGCAUGAAGACCCUGUUACAUAACCCCUAGAUUGCUCAAUCAAUCACGACCCUUUCAUGUAAAAUCUUUAGUGUUGUGAGCCCUUAAAAUGGACAGAAAUUGUGCACUCAAGGAGCUCCGAUUUUAAGACAGUAGCUUGCCGAUGCUCCCAGCUGAAUAAAGCCCUUCCUUCUACAACUCGGUGUCUGAGAGGUUUUGUCCAUGGCUCAUCCUGCUACAUUACAACUCCCCUAUCCUAC
RNAcentral lists this long non-coding RNA (1591 nucleotides) under Homo sapiens (human). Its description in RNAcentral is "HSALNT0035499". The record is from RNAcentral. Lineage: Eukaryota; Metazoa; Chordata; Mammalia; Primates; Hominidae.